GGCUGCGGUAAUUUGACCGUGCGAAGGUAGCAUAAUCAAUAGUCUUUUAAUUGGAGGCUUGAAUGAAAGGUUUGACGGAGGAAAAGCUGUCUCUUUAAUUUGUGUUGAAUUUAACGUUUGUGUGAAAAGGCAUUAAUAAUUUAGAGGGACGAUAAGACCCUAUAAAAUUUUACAUAUUAAUAUUAUUUAAUAAAAUUGUUAUAGUAAUGAUUGAAUUGUGUGAUUGUGUUUUGCUGGGGCGGCAGGAAUAUAAAAAUUUAACUGUUUUAAACAUAAAAUACUUAUAAGUAGAAAUUGGUCCUUUAUUGGAGAGAAAAGAGUAAGUUACUUUAGGGAUAACAGCAUAAUUUCUUCUAAGAGUUCUUAUCGAAGAUGGUUAGUUGUGACCUCGAUGUUGAAUUAAAUUUUCCUUUAGGUGUAGGAGUUU
RNAcentral lists this ribosomal RNA (427 nucleotides) under Synalpheus aff. herricki KMH-2016. RNAcentral's name for it is "partial 16S ribosomal RNA". It matches the Rfam family "Bacterial large subunit ribosomal RNA", at positions 1929 to 2564 of the family's 2925-position model. The record is from RNAcentral. Lineage: Eukaryota; Metazoa; Arthropoda; Malacostraca; Decapoda; Alpheidae.